GGUCCUUUAAAUUUUUUAACCUUUCUUCGUAACUAAAAUGCUCCAUUCCUUUUAUCAGUUUUGUAGCUCGUCUCUGCACUUUUUCUAGUGCCAUGAUAUCCUUCUUUAGAACAGGUGCCCAAAUUGCACAGCAUAUUCAGGGUGUGGUCUUACCAGCGAUUUAUAAAGAGGCCAAAUUAUAUUUUCAUCUCGAGAAUUUAUGCCCCUAUUUAUACAUGACAAAACCUUACUGGCCUUAGCAACUGCAGAUUGAUAUUGCAUAUUGCUGCCUAAUUUGUUGUCUAUAACAAUUCCCAAAUCCUUCUCGUGUGUGGUUAUCCCUAAUUCACUACCAUUUAG
Non-coding RNA from Pelobates cultripes (western spadefoot toad), 339 nucleotides. The record is from the annotation of a GenBank genome assembly. Lineage: Eukaryota; Metazoa; Chordata; Amphibia; Anura; Pelobatidae.